UGAACGCUAGCGACAGGCCUAACACAUGCAAGUCGAGGGGCAGCACAAGGAGCAAUCUGAGGUGGCGACCGGCGCACGGGUGAGUAACACGUAUGCAACCUGCCUGUAAGCGGGGAAUAACCCGUUGAAAGACGGACUAAUACCGCAUAAUACUAAAUUACUGCAUGGUAAUUUAUUUAAACAUUUAUGGCUUACAGAUGGGCAUGCGCAUGAUUAGCUAGUUGGAGAGGUAACGGCUCCCCAAGGCAACGAUCAUUAGGGGUUCUGAGAGGAAGGUCCCCCACACUGGUACUGAGACACGGACCAGACUCCUACGGGAGGCAGCAGUGAGGAAUAUUGGUCAAUGGACGAGAGUCUGAACCAGCCAAGUCGCGUGCAGGAAGAAUGUUCCCUAUGGAUUGUAAACUGCUUUUGCGAGGGGAAUAAAGUGCAUCACGUGUGAUGUUUUGUAUGUACUCUGCGAAUAAGGAUCGGCUAACUCCGUGCCAGCCGCUGC
RNAcentral lists this ribosomal RNA (496 nucleotides) under uncultured bacterium. RNAcentral describes it as "bacterial SSU rRNA". It matches the Rfam family "Bacterial small subunit ribosomal RNA", at positions 30 to 518 of the family's 1533-position model. The record is from RNAcentral.